AGAUUGAACGCUGGCGGCAGGCCUAACACAUGCAAGUCGAGCGGCAGCACGGGUACUUGUACCUGGUGGCGAGCGGCGGACGGGUGAGUAAUGCCUAGGAAUCUGCCUGGUAGUGGGGGAUAACGCUCGGAAACGGACGCUAAUACCGCAUACGUCCUACGGGAGAAAGCAGGGGACCUUCGGGCCUUGCGCUAUCAGAUGAGCCUAGGUCGGAUUAGCUAGUUGGUGAGGUAAUGGCUCACCAAGGCGACGAUCCGUAACUGGUCUGAGAGGAUGAUCAGUCACACUGGAACUGAGACACGGUCCAGACUCCUACGGGAGGCAGCAGUGGGGAAUAUUGGACAAGUGGGCGAAAGCCUAGAUCCAGCCAUGCCGCGUGUGUGAAGAAGGUCUUCGGAUUGUAAAGCACUUUAAGUGGAGGAAGGCAGUUACCUAAUACGUAUCUGUUUGACGUUACGACAGAAUAAGCACCGGCUAACUCUGU
This 484-nucleotide ribosomal RNA is filed under the name uncultured soil bacterium. RNAcentral describes it as "bacterial SSU rRNA". It matches the Rfam family "Bacterial small subunit ribosomal RNA", at positions 26 to 506 of the family's 1533-position model. The record is from RNAcentral.